RNAcentral lists this ribosomal RNA (500 nucleotides) under uncultured bacterium. RNAcentral describes it as "partial 16S ribosomal RNA". It matches the Rfam family "Bacterial small subunit ribosomal RNA", at positions 30 to 523 of the family's 1533-position model. The record is from RNAcentral.
AUUGAACGCUGGCGGCAUGCCUUACACAUGCAAGUCGAACGGUAGCGGGUCCUUCGGGAUGCCGACGAGUGGCGAACGGGUGAGUAAUAUAUCGGAACGUGCCCAGUAGUGGGGGAUAACUGCUCGAAAGAGCAGCUAAUACCGCAUACGACCUGAGGGUGAAAGGGGGGGAUCGCAAGAGCUCUCGCUAUUGGAGCGGCCGAUAUCAGAUUAGCUAGUUGGUGGGGUAAAGGCCUACCAAGGCAACGAUCUGUAGUUGGUUUGAGAGGACGACCAGCCACCCUGGGACUGAGACACGGCCCAGACUCCUACGGGAGGCAGCAGUGGGGAAUUUUGGACAAUGGGCGCAAGCCUGAUCCAGCAAUGCCGCGUGCAGGAAGAGGGCCUUCGGGUUGUAAACUGCUUUUGUCAGGGAAGAAAUCUUCUGGGCUAAUACCCCGGGAGGAUGACGGUACCUGAAGAAUAAGCACCGGCUAACUACGUGCCAGCCGCCGCGGUAA